GGUGAACGCUGGCGGCGUGCCUAAAACAUGCAAGUCGAGCGGAAACACGAGGAGCGGUCGCCCCUACGGGUAGCGACGGACGGGCGAGUAACACGUGGAUAGGCUACAUAUAAGACGGGGAGAAUAACGGGAGACCGGUGCUGCUAACAGAUAAUAGAGCCAACAGCAUCAAGCAAAAGAGCUAGGCGGAUUUGGUGACACUUAUAGACGAUACCGCGCCGCAUUAGCUAGGUGGUAACGUAACGGCUAACCAAGGCGACGAUGCGUAGCUGAGCUGAGAGGGUGAUCAGCCACACUGGAACUGAGACACGGUCCAGACUCCUACGGGAGGCAGCAGUCGGGAAUCUUCGACAAUGGGCGAAAGCCUGACGGAGCCAUGCCGCGUGCGUGAUGAAGGUCUUCGGAUCGUAAAACCCUGUUCUUUGGGAAGAACAGAUGUAUCCUUAGCUCUGGCCGUCUUGACGGUACCUACACAGAAAGCACCGGCUAACUACGUG
Molecule: ribosomal RNA, 497 nt
Filed under: uncultured bacterium
Lineage: Bacteria
Description: partial 16S ribosomal RNA
Rfam family: Bacterial small subunit ribosomal RNA
Source: RNAcentral